Molecule: ribosomal RNA, 253 nt
Filed under: uncultured bacterium
Lineage: Bacteria
Description: partial 16S ribosomal RNA
Rfam family: Bacterial small subunit ribosomal RNA
Source: RNAcentral
GACAGAGGGUGCAAACGUUGCUCGGAAUCACUGGGCGUAAAGGGCGUGUAGGCGGGAAGGUAAGUCGGGCGUGAAAUCUCGGAGCUUAACUCCGAAACUGCAUUCGAUACUGCCGUGCUUGAGGACUGGAGAGGAGACUGGAAUUUACGGUGUAGCGGUGAAAUGCGUAGAUAUCGUAAGGAAGACCAGUGGCGAAGGCGGGUCUCUGGACAGUUCCUGACGCUGAGGCACGAAGGUCAGGGGAGCAAACGGG